AUGUCUGCAAAAUCACUCAUCUCUUGCUGUCCCGACCAUUUUAUUUCUUCCCUCAUGCUUGUAAAAGCUGGGGCCCUCCUCGCCAGCUCUGCAGCAGUUUGAAACCCGAACUGCUGCGCUGCAACACUUCCACAACUUCAGGUGCCGCUUUUAUUUCUGGCCUUGGAACAAUAUCAUUUAAUGCUCUAAUGAGAUGCCUUAAAAAUACAAACGAGCCGCCUGAUACAGCAGGAUGCAAACCUGUCUCCAUGGCAGUGAUUUUCCUGAAGACGCUUUUCAUCUCUGGCUGCUGGAAGCUUCGAUGUAAAAAUUUAUCGUGCGCCCUCCCCUAAUAAAAUGUGAUGGUUUUACUGUA
Corvus hawaiiensis (hawaiian crow) is the source of this 355-nucleotide long non-coding RNA. RefSeq lists it as uncharacterized. The transcript has 2 exons. The record is from RefSeq and is a predicted model, not a curated record. NCBI's taxonomy places the organism in Eukaryota, Metazoa, Chordata, Aves, Passeriformes, Corvidae.